Propithecus coquereli (Coquerel's sifaka) is the source of this 2568-nucleotide RNA transcript. It is a transcript of the gene named DNA polymerase delta subunit 3 pseudogene, with no coding region annotated. The record is from RefSeq and is a predicted model, not a curated record. Lineage: Eukaryota; Metazoa; Chordata; Mammalia; Primates; Indriidae. The transcript has a single exon.
AGCUGCGGCUGUGGCUGAGGGAGGGGCUCAGAGGCGGCGGGUCCCGGCGCUGCAGCACCAUGGCAGACCAGCUUUAUUUGGAAAAUAUAGACGAGUUCGUCACGGACCAAAACAAGAUCGUGACAUACAAAUGGCUGAGCUAUACGCUAGGGGUUCAUGUAAACCAGGCCAAACAGAUGCUGUAUGAUUAUGUUGAAAGGAAGCGAAAGGAAAAUUCAGGAGCCCAACUGCACGUCACCUAUUUGGUAUCCGGCAGUCUCAUUCAGAAUGGACAUUCCUGCCACAAGGUCGCAGCAGUGAGAGAAGAUAAAUUGGAAGCAGUGAAGUCCAAGCUAGCUGUGGCUGCCAGCAUCCAUGUGUACAGCAUCCAGAAAGCCAUGCUAAAGGACAGUGGGCCUCUGUUCAAUACUGACUAUGACAUCCUUAAAAGCAACUUGCAGAACUGUAGCAAGUUUAGUGCCAUACAAUGUGCAGCUGCAGUCCCUAGAGCUCCUGCUGAAUCCUCAUCUUCCAAAAAGUUUGAGCAGUCACACCUUCCGGUGUCAAGUGAGAUACAAGCCAACAAUGAGCUCACAAUCAAUGGUCAUGGCCCACCUGCCUCCAAACAGACUUCCCAGCAGCCCAAAGGGAUUAUGGGAAUGUUUGCCUCUAAAGCUGCUACUAAAACCCAAGAAACCAACAAAGAAACUAAAACAGAGGCUAAAGAAGGAACAAAUCCAUCUUUGGCAGGCAGCAAGGCACCAGGGAAAGGGAAUGUGGGGAGCAACUUUUUUGGAAAAGCUGCUAUGAAUAAACUUAAAGUCAAUUUGGAUUCAGAACAAGCAGUGAAAGAAGAAAAAAUAGUGGAGCAACCUCCAGAGUCUGUCACCGAACCAAAGCUGGCAGCUCCUGCAGGCCUGAAGAAAUCCAGCAAAAAAGCAGAGCCUGUUAAGAUGCAGCAGAAGGAAAAAAAGAAAAGGGGAAGAGAGAUGAUGAGACAAAGGAAACUGAAAAUAUGAAGAAAAAAGGAGAAGAAUCAAACUUCCUGAGUCUGACGGCAGUGAAGAUGAAGUCUUCCCAGACUCUCCUGGGGCUUCUGAAGCUGAGUCACCCUCCCUCCCUCCUCCUGUGUCUCCACCUCUUGAACCAGUGCCAAAGACUGAUUCCGAACCUCCUUCCAUCAAGAGCUCAAGUGGAGAAAACAAAAGAAAACGAAAACAUGUACUGAAAUCUAAAACUUUUGUGGAUACAGAUGGCUCUGUGGUGACUGAAAAAUUCUACGAGAGUGAGUCCUGCACAGAUAGUUGAAGAGGAGCUUAAGAUCAAGACAUGCUCUGUACACAGACCCUCAGCCAUGCCUGUGAAAAAAGAACCCAAAGAGGAACGAAAGGGCCCCAAGAAAGGGAUUGCUGCUCUGGGCAAAGGCAACAGACAAGUGUCUAUUACUGGCUUCUUCCACAGGAAAUAAACUGCCAUCUCUGGUAGGUCAGAGACUUGGAGUGGUCAAGGGAGAAGACCAAGAAGUAUAGACUCUCUCACUUACUGUGUAAGUUCAUCUAGAUGCUCACCUCACCUGUAUCGAAAGACUGUUCUUUCAUCUUGUGAGGUUUAUACUAUUUCUGGUUUUUAACCAAAAGGAAAUCACCUGGAAGCAGGAGGCAAAAGAAUAUUUUAAAAGCUGUAACCUUCUAAUGACAUUUUUAAAGCACAAUCUUUGACCUGCCCAGAAGAAUUUAUUCCAAAAUUAAACUGGAACAGGUUUCAGAAUUAUCACAGAAGCCAUUUCGUGGCUAAUCCACUGUGCCCCACUCACCCUAUCCCCUGAUCUGUAUAUGGCGCAGGAAGUAUUCCUUCUUGUUCCUUUAUACUCCAUGAACUUGUGUGGGUAUUUUUUACCCCUGAAUUCUACUGGAUGUGUUUACUACUCCCCCUGUCCUAUCUUCUGUUCUCUACACUUCUGUCCCCCAACCCCAUGAAGCUGUUUUCUGUAAGUCUUUUAAAUCUUGGUUAGACUAAAGGCUGAAACAAAAAUCUCCCUGUAAUCCUCUUCCUCUAUCAUACAGUGCACUGACACCUGGCUACAGACCAGGACAUUGCUUGUGUUCUGCCCCUUUCUCAAAAGUUCUCUAGACCUUCACUCUCAAUUAGUGGUUAGGGAAAACCCUCAGGCAGAACACAAAUAGAAAUUUUAUGAUGUAUUCAACUCCACCAGAAAUUACUUAGUCAGCAUGGAUGGUAUUAGAGGAGUUAUCAUGUUGCUGACACAAUGUACUUUAUGGUUUGUUGGUCUCCCCGCUUCUCACUCUCAAAACCUAGAGAGUGAAACCUAUACAAUGAGAUGAAGUCUAAAAAGACAAAUCCCUUCCUUCAUACAGUGUACAACAGUUACACAAAAUUUCUCCUUCUCAGGAAAAUCAAAUGUUCAGAAGCAGCAAUUUUCCAGGAAGUUAGUAAGGAAGACAGGACACACAUUUGUGCAUAGAUGUUGUUCUUUUGUAUUUUUAGCUCCCCCAUUUGCCUAAAAGUACAGGCUCUCCAAGAAGAGAUGGAGAGAUUGAAUCGUUAGUAGGUAUAAAUAGUAAAUACAAC